RNAcentral lists this long non-coding RNA (3879 nucleotides) under Mus musculus (house mouse). RNAcentral describes it as "long non-coding RNA chr10:43363009-43366888". The record is from RNAcentral. Lineage: Eukaryota; Metazoa; Chordata; Mammalia; Rodentia; Muridae.
AGUCCCAUGACGGUGUUUUAACCAUGAACCUCUUUAAGUAUACUAUUUAGUUAAAGGAAUCUUUAAAUUCAUAUUUAUUCUGGGGAGUCUGGGAGAACAGGUGCCACAGUGCCUGUGUGGGAGUCAGAGGACAGCUUUCCUGCAGGAGUCAGUUCUCUUCUUAGGUUAGGGAACCUGUAGUCACAAUCUGUGCUACAAAACAGGUCUAGCUAUGUGUCCUAUAGAAAGCCAAAUUACAAGAAAAGGAGUUUUAUUUAGUAGCCACAUUGGAUUUUAUACUUUCAUUUAGAUAGCUGACGUUUUCCAAAACCUUUACGUCGCCGGUAGUUUGUUAAGCAUUGUAUCAGCUGCUCUGAAUCAGAGGUGGAGAUUAUCAAUUUGCUGUGUUUGUGCUGCACCUGUCCUGUUGGCUGUGCCAUCCUCCCUGCUGUCCCUCCUUAGCAGAACUUCCAACUCAGUAGAACAGAUUGUCACCCCUCCUGCAGAAACACAAGGCCUUCCGCACCCGCACCUGGCAGCAUGAAAAAGCCCUGCUCAGCCUCCCUCCAGAACGUGUGAGGUAGAGCUGUGUGUAGAGCUUUCAUCAGAGGCUUCAUUAAACCUGGUAGGAUGGAGUGUGAGCCUUCUUCUCCCAUGGACCCCAGCAAUGGCCGCAUCAAAGCCACUCAUCUAUAUUAAUCAGCGUGCAGAAUAGGGCUCAUCUGGGCUGUUGGUGCCCAGCUGGUGGCCAAGUAGACUUUACCCCUCUGGGAUUUGGCCACAGCCACUGCUCCCUGUGUUCUUCAGAGGUCACUGCCUGAGUGAGGCUGCCAGCCUGAGUGUUCUUGCUGAGCACUGGGAGUGGAAUCCACCUGAACAAGACAAGGAGUUAGAACCCAGUCUGUACAUGAUAAAGAACCUUCCAAAUACUGGAUGGAAACAAUGCUCGCUCUCUAGGAGGAUGCUACUCUCACUGUGGUAAUGAAAAUCUUUCCGUCCUUUGCUAGGGCUCUCGUGUGCCCUGUGCUUGUCUGUGCUGGGAAGAACUAAAGGACGGUGCUACUGCUUGAUACCUACGUUUCCUCUGUGUCUUUUCUUCCUUUUUAUUUUUUUAAGGUUUUUUCGUUUUAUUUUCUGUGUACCACAUUGCCUGUGUGGUGCUCUCAGAGGCCAGAAGACGAUGUGGAUCCCCCUGUGCAGGAAUUACAGAUGGUUGUGAGUUGUGUGCGUGCUGGGAGCCAAACCCAGGUACUCUGCAAGAGCCACGAGCCCUGGCUGAAAACCCUGACUGAAGACAACCUUCCAAGGGAUCAGUGAGAUGGCUCAGUGGGUAGAGGUACUUGCUGUACUGACCCCAUGACCUAGAUUUGAUCUGCCCCACAUUUGAGGAGAGAGUCAACUCCACAGUUCUUUUCCAGUCUUCACACAAGCUAUAGCACAUGUGAAGGAAACACGUGUAGCACGUGCCCCCCCCACACACACACACACAUCGUUGACACAGACAAUACAUUCUUAAAUUUUCUUUUACUGUGUGUGUUGGUGUUUUGCCUGCAUGUAGGUCUAUGCACCACAUGCAUGCCCGGUACUGCAAAGGAUAGAGCGGGCGUUAGACCUCUGAAACUGGAGUUAGCUGCCUGGAUAUGGGUGCUAGGAAUCGAACUUGGGUCCUCCGGAAGAGCAGCCUGUGCUUUACCACUGAUCCAUCUCUCCAGCCUCACACAGCAGCCCUUUCAAAUUCCACUAAACUCCUCUGUGUCACCUUAUCUAUCACUGAGCUUCCCCGGAGCCACAGUAGCUUAGAUCCAUCUUUUUUCUCUAAAGAUUUAGUUCUAUUUUCUUUAGCUUUUAAUCCAAACUGGCCUGGUACACUGCCUAAACAUCCCAGCAUUCCUGAAUCCAGCCCACCGUCAGCUGCUGACUGACAGGAUGUCCGAGUCCCGUUUAUUGAGAAAGGCACAGCGUGUCCACACGGAGUGCUUGCUACCACUUACUGAUCUUAUUUUGCCUGGUCUACAGACUAUUGACUGACAAUAUCCUGUACAUCAUUUUGUGGAUCUAACUCGGCUUGAAGCCUCUCUCGGGGAAUAAAAACAGAGUAUGCUGGGCCUCUCCCAAGGGGGGAAACUUAUUAUUUUACCCAAUUACAGAAGCAGCAUAAUGAAAAGGGGUAAGAGUAUAAUAUGGGAUCUGUUUAAGUAGCUGUAAAUUUAGCCUUUGUAGCUAUGAGUGAUUCAGAAAGGUGGGACGUUUUUAAUAAAGUCUUCUGGUCUCUGUCACUUUUACAUUGUCCUUUUCCCUUUUGUUUUUCCUUUCAGGCCUUUUCUUUGUGUGUAAAAGCCAAACAGACUGACCUCAUUUUGCUUUUAAAAUACCUAUUAUAUCAUUGUGGUUUAUAACCAGCUUUUUUCCUCUUUAAGACUAUCUGGUAGACAUCUUUGUACAGCAGUGCGAGACCCUUGUCUUCUGCGGGAGGGAACUGGCUUCUCUCACCACUUUUCUCAGUUUCUAUUGUUUUAACUUUUUAAUUAAUUACCUGUGGUUUUCACACAUUGUGUACUCCAAUCCCACUCACUCAGCUCCCCAUGCCUCUGGAUUCAACCUUUGCCCUUGCACCCUCCUCCACAAAAGGAAGCAAAAAAUAAGAAUAACUCAGUCUAGCAGUCAUCAUCAUCAUCUCCCCGUGGAGGAUGUAGCAUGUUUCAGAUAGCCGCGCAGGGCGCCCUUUUCCUCAAACGGCUUUCCUUGGAAAUGUUCACUGCAACGAAUUAUUGAUCUGGCUUGAGGCUUCUGGCUUCUGCUACACUUUCAUUCCUGGAUCCUCAGCAGGACUCCUCUCGCAUCUCCUGCUGCUGCCUCUGUCAGAGACAUCCUGCAGCUUUGUUUAGUUCUUCAUGUGCUCCAGCAGCUCAGAGAUGGGGAAGAUGUCGGAAUGAGACAACUCAAAGCCCUGGAUUGGGCCUGCGUGGUAGCUGACUUGUUCAGCUGAGCUCAAGCCCCUGAGGUCUGCUCUCUACCACUGCCCCAGGGAGGGAUGGAGCUAGCUCUCCAGCUCUCAAGCCACCAGAGGCCAGCUCUCCACCAGUGGCCAGCUCUACCACUGCCAGGGUGAGAGGCAGGGCUACCUCUCCAUGGUGCUGCAGCUAAUGAGUGGCAGGGCAGGCUCUGUGCAGUGCUAGGACAUCAACAUGGCCCCAACCAGGGAUGUCUGCAUGACCUUUGGUGGUGAUAUGGGCCACAGACAUUGACACAGACCCCUACAGCUUCAGGGCCACAGACGCAGAUGUGGCCCUCAGCAGCUGCACGGGCCAGGACACCAAGCUGGUCCUCACCAUCCUUAUGUUUCCAUUCCAGGCCCUCCCCCCUUAAUAGUGCACAAAUCAUUUUGCUUCUCUUUCUCUGCUUCCCACUUGCUCUUCACAGUGGUGCCUGCCCAUCCUCCACUGCUACGUGGUGCCGGGCCAGGUGUGCCUCUAGUUGUCUUCCAUCCUGGGUGUCUUCCGUGCCUCUAGCUCUCAGUUCCCAUUUUCCUAUAAAGACAAUUUAUUAUAGUUCUCGGGCAUCAGAACUUAGUGUUGUUUGCUUUUGCUUUGCUUUGGGUUGGGUUUGUUUCGUGGUGCCCAGAGUCUUGGGCACACUAAGCAAGCCUUCUGCCUCUAAGCUGCACGCCUACUUGUAGUUAUGUUAUCUUUAGUUAGAUCAACUACCACUUUGCCAAUUAUCGAGGUAGACCAUCAGUCAUAAUAUUUUUCAGUGGAAAUGAUUUUAUCGUCAUUCUCCAUGCCUUAAAACCAGCCUGGGGAACUGAAUGAAAGCCUUCUUCAAGAUACAGUGAAAAAGUGGUUUGAAUGUAGCUCAGCAGUGGAACAUAAAUGAGGUCCUAGGUCAAUCCCCAGGAGCACC